Molecule: long non-coding RNA, 931 nt
Organism: Carcharodon carcharias (great white shark)
Lineage: Eukaryota; Metazoa; Chordata; Chondrichthyes; Lamniformes; Lamnidae
Exons: 3
Source: RefSeq, a predicted model, not a curated record
AGAAUUUCGCUGGAUUUCGAAAGGGACAGAAAUUGUUGAAGAUUUGAGAAAGCUGCUAAUGAUCACAGGAUGGUAGAUCCAUGACAAGAGAAAUCAGCCGGCUCAAUGAUAAGAGCCUGAGAGGAGACAUGUCAUCACAAGGCAACCCGGGAAAGCAACCAGAUGCAAGCCAAUAGUUUAAAGUGACAAGGUCACCAAAAAAGCCUGACCACUGAAUAAUCGCUCCGGUGUGAAAAGGUAGAGAUGACGGCUGCCACAAGUCACCUGAUAUCUGGAAUUGAAAGGAACCAGUAAGGCAUUAUAUGGAUUGCACUGGAGGCAUGGCCUGAAAUGUUGCCCAUGGAAUUUCACACCUGGGACACCUGAGACACAUGGAUGACUCUUUCAGAGGCUAAUGGCUGGGACAUUAUAUGCCACCAAAUAAAAGCCAGAUUCAGACACCAGAUAAACAUCCCUUUAUGAACUCAUUGUUGGAGGAAGGAGGUCACAUAACUUGAGUAACCAUUUUGAAAUCUCUAUAUACAGCUGAGAACUCAGAAGCAGAGCAGUCUGCUAACUUAUCUUCAACUUGCAAACAUCCUACAGCAGGACUCCAGGCUAACGAAGCAGCUUGCAAGAAGCCCUCCUCAAAGCCAAUUUAUCUGAAAGGUACUGGUCACUGCCUGCCAAGCAGACCAAGUCUCUGAACAUGGAACCCAUCUUACUGCAGUGCAAUCAUAAUUAAAAGAAUUUUGCGCUUCUGCCUUCAGCCAGGAACCGCCAAGCUGGAAUUUCUCCAUGAAGGGACCCUCUCUGGAUUUGGACUUCCUGGACUCUGGAAAUCACAUGACCUGAUAUCCAUUUCUGUGGUUGUUUUUACUGUUAAGUUAUAAAUAGUUGUAAAAUCCCUCUUUCCUAUUCCCCUUACCCUAUAAUUGUGUGUGUAUAUGAA